GAGAGAGAGAUAGAGGAGUAGGAAUCAGGAGAGAGAUAGAGAGGAGGAGGAAUCAGGAGAGAGAGAUAGAGAGGAGGAGGAAUCAGGAGAGAGAGAUAGAGGAGAGGAGGAAUCAGGAGAGAGAUAGAGAGGAGGAGGAAUCAGGAGAGAGAGAUAGAGAGGAGGAGGAAUCAGGAGAGAGAGAUAGAGAGGAGGAGGAAUCAGGAGAGAGAGAUAGAGAGGAGGAGGAAUCAGGAGAGAGAGAUAGAGGAGUAGGAAUCAGGAGAGAGAUAGAGAGGAGGAGGAAUCAGGAGAGAGAGAUAGAGGAGUAGGAAUCAGGAGAGAGAUAGAGAGGAGGAGGAAUCAGGAGAGAGAGAUAGAGAAGAGGAGGAAUCAGGAGAGAGAGAGAUAGAGAGGAGGAGGAAUCAGG
Oncorhynchus tshawytscha (Chinook salmon) is the source of this 409-nucleotide long non-coding RNA. The record is from Ensembl. NCBI's taxonomy places the organism in Eukaryota, Metazoa, Chordata, Actinopteri, Salmoniformes, Salmonidae.